This 1243-nucleotide ribosomal RNA is filed under the name metagenome. Its description in RNAcentral is "bacterial LSU rRNA". It matches the Rfam family "Bacterial large subunit ribosomal RNA", at positions 1696 to 2925 of the family's 2925-position model. The record is from RNAcentral.
AAACCAUGGUGAAGGAACUCGGCAAAAUACCCCCGUAACUUCGGGAUAAGGGGGACCUGAUGCGUAUUAGAAUUUACUUCGAAAGCGUUGAGGGUCGCAGAGACCAGGCCCAAGCGACUGUUUACUAAAAACACAGGUCCGUGCUAAGUCGAAAGACGAUGUAUACGGACUGACUCCUGCCCGGUGCUGGAAGGUUAAGGGGAAGGGUUAGCUUUACGGCGAAGCCUUGAACUUAAGCCCCAGUAAACGGCGGUGGUAACUAUAACCAUCCUAAGGUAGCGAAAUUCCUUGUCGGGUAAGUUCCGACCUGCACGAAUGGAGUAACGAUUUGGGCGCUGUCUCCACCAUGGACUCGGCGAAAUCGCACUACGAGUAAAGAUGCUCGUUACGCGCAGCAGGACGGAAAGACCCCGGGACCUUCACUAUAGUUUGGUAUUGGUGAUCGGUGUGACUUGUGUAGGAUAGGUGGGAGACUUUGAAGCUUGGACGCCAGUUCAGGUGGAGUCAUCGUUGAAAUACCACUCUGGUCACUCUGGUUAUCUAACCUAGGUCCAUUAUCAGGAUCAGGGACAGUGCCUGAUGGGUAGUUUGACUGGGGCGGUCGCCUCCUAAAAGGUAACGGAGGCGCCCAAAGGUUCCCUCAGCCUGGUUGGCAAUCAGGUUUCGAGUGUAAGUGCACAAGGGGGCUUGACUGCGAGAGAGACAUCUCGAGCAGGGACGAAAGUCGGGACUAGUGAUCUUCUGGUGGCACAUGGAAGCGCCAGGACUCAACGGAUAAAAGGUACCCCGGGGAUAACAGGCUGAUCUUGCCCGAGCGUCCAUAGCGACGGCAUGGUUUGGCACCUCGAUGUCGGCUCGUCGCAUCCUGGGGCUGGAGUCGGUCCCAAGGGUUGGGCUGUUCGCCCAUUAAAGCGGCACGCGAGCUGGGUUUAGAACGUCGUGAGACAGUUCGGUCCCUAUCCGCUGCGCGCGUAGGAGUCUUGAGAAGAGCUGUCCUUAGUACGAGAGGACCGGGACGGACUAACCUCUGGUGUGCCAGUUGUUCUACCAAGAGCACGGCUGGUUGGCUACGUUGGGAAGUGAUAACCGCUGAAAGCAUCUAAGCGGGAAGCACGCUUCAAGAUGAGGGCUCCCACAGAUUAAUCUGGUAAGGCCCCCUAUAGACCAUGGGGUGAUAGGUCGGAUGUGGAAGUGCAGUAAUGUACGGAGCUGACCGAUACUAAUAGGCCGAGGGCUUGUUUCC